GAUGAACGCUGGCGGCGUGCCUAAUACAUGCAAGUAGAACGCUGAAGGAGGAGCUUGCUCUUCUGGAUGAGUUGCGAACGGGUGAGUAACGCGUAGGUAACCUGCCUGGUAGCGGGGGAUAACUAUUGGAAACGAUAGCUAAUACCGCAUGACAACAGUUAUUGCAUGAUAACUGUUUAAAAGGGGCAACUGCUCCACUACCAGAUGGACCUGCGUUGUAUUAGCUAGUUGGUGAGGUAACGGCUCACCAAGGCGACGAUACAUAGCCGACCUGAGAGGGGGAUCGGCCACACUGGGACUGAGACACGGCCCAGACUCCUACGGGAGGCAGCAGGAGGGAAUCUUCGGCAAUGGACGGAAGUCUGCCCGAGCAACGCCGGGGGGGUGAAGAAGGUUUUCGGAUCGUAAAGCUCUUUUGUAAGGGAAGACCGGGUGGGGGGGUGGAAAGUUCCCACUGGGGCGGUUUUUUACCAGAAAGGGACGGCUAACUACGG
Molecule: ribosomal RNA, 494 nt
Filed under: uncultured bacterium
Lineage: Bacteria
Description: partial 16S ribosomal RNA
Rfam family: Bacterial small subunit ribosomal RNA
Source: RNAcentral